Molecule: long non-coding RNA, 1186 nt
Filed under: Homo sapiens (human)
Lineage: Eukaryota; Metazoa; Chordata; Mammalia; Primates; Hominidae
Description: HSALNT0322683
Source: RNAcentral
GCGCGCCCGCCUCGCCGCGGCCCCCGGGUGGGGGCGUCCACGGCCCGGGUUCCCGGCGGGCUUGGGGCAGGGACGCAGUCCGGAGAUUCCGGGACUGCCCGGCUGCUGCAGCCCGCAGGCUCCUCUCUCCUCCCCGCUUCCCCUCCGCACUGCCUGGGCUAAAGGCGGCCAAGCUGAGGCUCCGAAAGAAAAGGCAGGGGGACAUCCCAGAUGCCGUUGAGUAGGCUGAGAUGGUUUGGAGACUCAUCCUCGCCGGAGGUCCUGCAAGCCACUGAAGUGGCACAGACGCGUGUGCGCGGAGUGGGGCGGUGUGUCGGGCCACAGGCCAAGCCCAAGUCGGCCUCCCAGAGUGUUUGCCACGGUUUGGGCGGAGGGAAAAUUGCAACCCUUGCCUACAACCAGACUGACAGCAUAAUUUCUUAGGAAUCAAGAAUCAAUACAGGGUUAUUUCUUUAGAUUAAACCUUAAAAGCCCCCUUGGAGGCUGAAGAAGCAGAGGAUAGCCAUGCAUACACUUGAACGUGAAAAAUGGUCCUCUUUCAUUGGAGAGGUCUUCCUCUUCAGCUAAACCGACAGAGUGGUGAAAAGAAGAAGGGACCCCUUGUUGACCAAAAUAAUCCAGACAAAUCAAAUCGGCCCUUUCCAGCAAGGAGUGGAACAGCCCAAGGGUGGCUAGAUCACAUCUUCUGCUCACACCACCACUGAGCAACCCUCUCCAGGACUGCCACCUAUGCAUAGGUCAUGCCCUGUGCAAGAGCACAUAAAGUGGGAGCUGAAGUCCUGCCCAGGCUCCAUUCACCAAGCAGAGCUUAUGUUGUUGUGUGUCUGUGUCUACCCAGAGGAUGUGGGUCCUUUUUAAAAUGUGCACCAAUGCAUCUUGUAUGAGCUGGCACCAGCUCGGACCAUCCCACCCUCAUACCCUGGUCCUAUCCAGGGUUAUAUUCCCUACUUUAGAAGAAUUAAUUAUUUUUAUGAACGUAUUUAGUUUAUUGUAAAAAAUGAAAUAUAUGACACAAAUUGAAAUUAAUUUCAGAGGUAAAGGUCAGAAUAUUACCAUGUAUGUGAAUUAUGUUUGUAUGUAUAUGUAUAUAUCAAGAGAGUUAUAUGAAUAUACAUUUUUGUGUAUCAGAAGUGAGGACAAUUUAACUUUGUUAAGUGUUUGAAAUAAAAUUAUUUUGAGUUUUGGA